UUUCAAUCGCAUCUUCCCUAAUUCUUUUUCAAUGGCUUCCAUCCCAAAGUUGUACACUAAUUGUGCAUUUCCCAAUAGCUUUUCUCAGUUUCCAAAUCCACAGACAGUUCCCCAAGAAAACUAUACGGUUGGAGGUGGUGGUGCAAUAAUUCCCGGUGCAACAUGGGGCGAAGAAAUUAGCUUUCCGAUGCUUUUAGACAACGGCGGGAUCGAUGUUUUUCAACAAAUUUCUAAUCUAACGGCUGCAGUCCCAGCAGCAUUGUUUCCGUAGCUAAGCGGGACAUCUUCGGACUUCGAUGUCCCGACAGCUUUGCCUCAUCACAGUAGCGUUUCACAAGGCUUCUGUGCCAUUAAUGGAACCAUCCCAAAUUUUGUUGCCAGAUAUCAAUUACAAGAUGACUAUGAGUUUGGAGAAGAAUGCACUGGAUUUGUUCAUCAGGAUUUCAAGCCAGUUGAUCCAAGACAAAACUGGGGAAUUCAAGGAAAUCAAAUUUGGCGGGCCAUGGAAGACAGCAAUCUUAAGGUCGGUCGGUAUUCGGUAGAAGAGAGGAAAGACAGAAUUCUUAGAUACUUGAAGAAGAGAAACCAAAGGAACUUUAACAAGACUAUUAAGUAUGCUUGCAGGAAAACCCUAGCUGAUAGAAGAGUUAGAGUGAGGGGAAGAUUUGCAAGGAACACUCAACUUUGCGAAGAUCAAGAAACGGUAUUCAAAAAGGAAGCCGAUAAUUCAUC
Molecule: long non-coding RNA, 732 nt
Organism: Hibiscus syriacus
Lineage: Eukaryota; Viridiplantae; Streptophyta; Magnoliopsida; Malvales; Malvaceae
Exons: 3
Source: RefSeq, a predicted model, not a curated record